GGAGAGGUACCGAAGAGGUCGUAACGGGUCCGACUCGAAAUCGGAUUACGGCACAAAAAGCCGUACGCGGGUUCGAAUCCCGCCCUCUCCGCCA
RNAcentral lists this transfer RNA (94 nucleotides) under Acidobacteriota bacterium. RNAcentral's name for it is "Acidobacteria bacterium (hot springs metagenome) tRNA-Ser". It matches the Rfam family "tRNA". From Rfam's summary of the family: Transfer RNA (tRNA) molecules are approximately 80 nucleotides in length. Their secondary structure includes four short double-helical elements and three loops (D, anti-codon, and T loops). The record is from RNAcentral. Lineage: Bacteria; Pseudomonadati; Acidobacteriota.